This 661-nucleotide ribosomal RNA is filed under the name uncultured bacterium. RNAcentral's name for it is "partial 16S ribosomal RNA". It matches the Rfam family "Bacterial small subunit ribosomal RNA", at positions 302 to 980 of the family's 1533-position model. The record is from RNAcentral.
GAACAGCCACUGAUUGAGAACCGUUCCAGAACCUUACGGUGCAGCAGUCGAGAAUCUCACAAUUGGGCGACCUGAUGAGGCGACGCCGCGUGGAGGAUAAGUCUUCGGAUUGUAAACUCCUGUCAUGUGUGACAUGUGCAGGGCUACACCUUUGCAAAUGAUGUACACAGAGGAAGAGACGGCUACUCUGUGCCAGCAGCGCGUAAUACAGAGGUCUCAGCGUGUCGGAAUCACUGGGCGUAAAGGGUGCGUAGGUGGCGUGGUAAGUCAGAUGUGAAAGCCCGGGGCUCAACCUCGGAAUUGCAUCCGAUACUGCCAUGCUCGAGUACUGAAGAGGUGACUAGAAUUCUAGGUGUAGCAGUGAAAUGCGUAGAUAUCUAGAGGAAUACCAAAGGCGAAGGCAGGUCACUGGGCAGUUACUGACACUGAGGCACGAAGGCCAGGGUAGCGAACGGGAUUAGAUACCCCGGUAGUCCUGGCAGUAAACGGUGCACGUUUGGUAUGGGCGCAAUCGACCGCGCCCGUGCCGGAGCUAACGCGUUAAACGUGCCGCCUGGGAAGUACGGUCGCAAGAUUAAAACUCAAAGAAAUUGACGGGGACCCGCACAAGCGGUGGAGUAUGUGGCUUAAUUCGAUGCAACGCGAAGAACCUUACCUGGUC